GAUGAACGCUGGCGGCGUGCCUAAUACAUGCAAGUCGAACGGGGAGUAGCAAUACUCUUAGUGGCGAACGGGUGAGUAACGCGUUGGUACCUGCCCCGAAGCGGGGGAUAACGGACCGAAAGGUCCGCUAAUACCCCAUGUGCUCGGUAACGAGUAAAGGUGAAAACCACUUUGGGAGGGGCCUGCGUCCCAUCAGCUAGUUGGUAAGGUAACGGCUUACCAAGGCGAUGACGGGUAGGGGACCUGAGAGGGUGGCCCCCCACAAUGGAACUGAAACACGGUCCAUACACCUACGGGUGGCAGCAGUAGGGAAUAUUGGUAAUGGGCGCAAGCCUGAACCAGCAACGCCGCGUGUGCGAUGACGGCCUUCGGGUUGUAAAGCACUUUUGACGGGGACGAGGAAGGACGGUACCGGUCGAAUCAGCCUCGGCUAACUACGUG
RNAcentral lists this ribosomal RNA (441 nucleotides) under uncultured bacterium. RNAcentral describes it as "partial 16S ribosomal RNA". It matches the Rfam family "Bacterial small subunit ribosomal RNA", at positions 28 to 507 of the family's 1533-position model. The record is from RNAcentral.